Psammomys obesus (fat sand rat) is the source of this 189-nucleotide small nuclear RNA. RefSeq annotates it as U2 spliceosomal RNA. The record is from RefSeq and is a predicted model, not a curated record. The transcript has a single exon. Lineage: Eukaryota; Metazoa; Chordata; Mammalia; Rodentia; Muridae.
GUCGCUUCUUGGCCCUUUGGCUAAGAUCAAGUGUAGUAUCUGUUCUCAGCAGUUUAACAUCGUUCUAUUUUUAAAAGAGUCUCUCAUGUUUGUUUGUCUUUUUCAGAACUGUCUUAAAUAUUCUUAGAUUUUUUUUUUUUAACUCCAGAACAGGUGACUUUUGGAACCAGAACAACCGGCACAAAAAGU